Non-coding RNA from Equus caballus (horse), 7677 nucleotides. The record is from RefSeq and is a predicted model, not a curated record. Lineage: Eukaryota; Metazoa; Chordata; Mammalia; Perissodactyla; Equidae.
UAAUUUAAUAAAUUUUAUUGUAACAAUGGCUGAUAGCAUUAUUUAAACUUCAGCUUUACAUCCUUAUAUUUAGAUUUCUGUGUAGACUACAUCAUGUUCUAUGUAAUGUUCUGUGUAAAGUCAAUAUAGAUUACGGCAUUUGCUUAAUUUCCAUGUACCAGCUGCAGACUCCUAUGUUGAUGUUCAUAACAAACCCCUUUCAUUCACACCUGAGUCUAUGGUAAUGAGGUGACUUUUGGAAAGCCCCUAAGUCACUAAGGAUGGGGGCUAGUUGCCAGGGGAACUAACUAUGUGAUGAGAGGAUUGGAACUUGCAGCCCCAUCCCCCAGUUUCCAGGGAUGGGAGAAGGGCUGGAGAUAGAGCUCAAUCACCAGUGGCCAGUGAUUUCAUCAAUCAUGCCUAUGUAAUGAAGCCUCCAUAAAAACCCAAAGGAAUGGGGAGUAGAGAGCUUCCGGUUGGUGAACACACAGAGAUUGGGGAGGGUGGCGAGCACGGAGAGGGCAUGGAAGCUCGUGCCCUUUCCUCCUACCUUGCCUCAUGCAUCUCUUCCAUCUGACUGUUCCUGACUUAUAUACUUUUAUAAUAAACCAGCAAACCAGUAAGUAAAAUCUUUCUCUGAGUUCUGCGAGCCUCCCUAGCAAAUUAAUAGAAUCUGAGGAGGAGGUAUGGGAACCUACGAUCAAUAGCCACGGAGUCAGAAGCACAGGCGACAACCUGGACUUGUGACUGGCAUCUGAAGUGGGGAGUCAGGGCAGUCUUGCAGGACUGAGCUCUUAACUUGUGGGAUCUGAUGGUCUCUCGAAGUAGCUAGUGUCAGAAUUGAGUUGAAUUGUAAGACACUCAACUAGUGUUGUAGAAUGGCUCAGUGGUCUGGGAAAAACAGCCACACGUCAGAAUUGGUGUCCGAAUCAUAGUGCUGAAAGUAUCAUCCUUAAAUGGAUAAUAACUUUAGUGUAGUUAUGGGGCAUAACAUCUCAUAUCCCAUCCUUUAAGGAAGAUGAAGGAGAAAAGUGUGGUGUCUUUUAGCCAAAAAAAAGAAAUUAUGGUUAAAAUACAUUGUGGUUUACUUCUUUAGAAAUUGUUUUUUAUUGCCUUAGGGAAAAACCUGAACUAAACACACCACAGGAAGGGCUACAUAGAAAGGGAGUAUUCAACUAUGUACUUGCCAAAAAUAUUCAUGGGAAAAUGAGGGGAUUUCACAAAUUAUCGUGAAAAAUACUGAAUUUCCUCUCCUCACCCACCUCCAUCCACUAAGUAGUCAAAUAAAGAAGAAAUCCUGACUCUGCUACUCCUUAUCCACCAUUCCAAAAUCCUCAAAACGCGGUGAGCUAAAAGUACUUUGUGUCACUCAUUUGGCAGCAAAACCUGUUUAGAACUAAUGUCAGGCCACUCGUGAUUCUCACUUAUCCUACUUAGCAAGAAGACUCAUGUGUUUCACGGCAGGAAACAGACACAUUCAUAUGUUUGAUUACAGGGGCUGCCCUGUUUCUUCUGGGGUCUUACAUAAUGCAUGGACUAUGCACUGUAUUGUCUUCCUAACGUCUAAAAUAUUCUGAAUUCCGAAGAGCAUCUAGCCCCAAGAGUUUCAGAUGACAGAUUGCGAACCCGUGAAAGAAGGACUUGAAUUCCCCUUUCAGGCUUAAGCCAAUGUUUUCAAACUCUGCCUCCAACCCACAGGAAAAACAGUGCAUUACAUUAUAACUCAGAACAUAUAUACACACAUAACCGAAACCAAAGUUUUACAAAGCAAUUAUUAUCCUUACUUUGUGCAUCUAAUAAUUUAUACUCUAUUUUCUUCCAUGUAAAACAGUACUGGUCAUGACCCACUAAAGUACAGGUUGUAAUUUUUUUGUGCCAGUAUGAUGCAACUAUGGACCCCUUUUCAAAAUAAUGCUUAUGAAUGCAUACAAAGAAAAUACAUAAGAUUCCAAAGGAAAAAUAUUACACUGAAAUUCAGCUAUGAAAAUAUUUUUAAAUGAUUUUUUAAAUAAUUUUAAAUAAUAGCAAAAUAUGUGCUUCUUUUUUAGUUCACAUGUAUGGCCAUGAUUGCAAAUUAGUGAGAAGCGUAAUUGUUACUUUGCAAGAUCUGCACAAACUAAUGGAAGAUGAGAACAUCUAUGAUUUCUACUGGUCACAAAGUGGGUAUCACUAAUACUACUGUGGGUGGUCACCUUCAUUUAUAAUUGAAGGAAAUGUUAAAUAUUAAUUAGAAGCUAGUGAAAAUAAAGGUAUAAAUUUUUCCCAUUGAAAUUUAAAGACCUCUGAAUUCUAUCCACAAACCCUAUGGACUCCAGGGUUAAAAUCCUGUGCAAUAAACUGGUAAUACAACCCAUGGAUUAUAAAACAAGGAAAACCCUAAUCUCUGCCUGGGAAAAUAGCAUCCCCUGGCUCAGCCCAGACUGCAUCUGGCUUUGGAUGCUUGGAGACCCCUAACUCCCUGUUUACCCCUACAGGAUUUGGGGCCCCACAUGCUUCUGCCCUGGCUGGACUCAGGCUUACAGAAAGCACAAAACAGAGGCCCAGAGUGGAUGGCCUGUGGCUAGAAAAGGCAAAAACCAGGCUAGUCAUUGGAAAGAACCAGAUGAAGACAGAUCAGACAACAGAGGGUUAAUCUGUUGCCAGCUGCCAGUUGCCAACUAAGGUCCCCUCAACCAUAAACUCAGUGCCCCUACUGAAAUCUUGGUUCACCUUAGGUUCUGUUUUCUAGAUGUGUGCUUUAUUUUGUUUUGUUUGAUGAUCACCGCAUUUCAAAUUUGUAUUUACUCCUUGAGGCAUAGCAUCUACAAGAACUCGUCAUUGUACCCCAAAUGAACAGCACUGAGAUGGGCAAUGGGCCAAUAGGCAAGCUGUCUGCUUUCUCAAGCUCUACCAAUGCCAGACUGUUCUGUUCACGGAGGAGGGCAAGCCUUUUGCUAGCUGACAGCGAAGCUAGAGGGAAGAGCCUGCCCAUCUUUCCAUAUUUUCUCUGGGCUGGCUCUGGACUCCUGUAAACUCAGAAAAAUGUAGUUUGUAUCUGAGAAGCUGCUAAGAUGAGUGGGCUUUGGAGACCUUUGGCUGGAGACAAGCAGAUACUCUCACCAAGAGGUAAGCACUAGUAACCACACAACAACAAAAAGAUAAUAAAAGCAGUUAUUGAUUGAUGAUUGAUGCCACAGUGCACCAGGAACACGGCUUGUGCAAGAAAGAGUUUUAUCAACUCUUUCCCACUAGCCUGUAAGCUCCGCCAGGACAGGGAAGGUUCACAUAUGCUAGCACCUAGGUGCAGCAGACAGACCGUGUCCGACACCCUCAGCAUCACCAUUCCCACACAGUCCAACGGGUUUGACUACAAGGCAGGUUAGAAGUCCCAGCGUCCGCACCCCUCCCCCAUCCCAGCAGCCAGCAAUGGUGGAUGGGAGCUGGCAGGUAAAUGCCUCAGGUGGGAUAACUCUGCUGUGGGUCCCAGAGGUUCCAGCGGGGUGAGCGCCAGGUGCCCACAGUGGUCACCUGCUCACUAAUGCACUUGUACUGGCUGCCUUGCCUUCCUAUCUCACUUCCCCACUCCCCUGCCAGUGCUCUCUAGAACCAUCUCCUAAAUAAAUUACUUGCACUUGUGUACCUGCAUAGGAUCUGCUGCUCAGGGAACCCAACCUAAAACUCUACGUUCCAGGACAGUAGCAGGAACACAGAAUUCUAUGACUGGCUAGCUAUGUGGCUACACUGGGGUUCCAUAUUCCAGCCCUCAAUGCAGUUCUCAGCAGUGUUAAUCCCAGGAUUAUCUCCCUCUGGAUGCUUACCCAGGAGACCUUGAGGAGCAACUACCCUAGGUGACACGUUUCCUGGCUGGGAGGUACCAAGCAGAUCACAGGUCUACACAAUGCUCUGGAUCAGCAUCAAACCCUUCCUGCAUUAGUGGCAUGGCAGCCAGCCACAGGGCACUUUACUGGGCGUUGGUGCACAGGAAAAGUUGCUCCGCAGGAGGAGCUGAGGCUCUGAGAGGCCAAGAGCACAGUGUCUGACACCCAAAGACAAGCUCUCCUGCCAAUCCUGGCAGCCCCUGGGAGUGCAGCCUUUACCAGUUUCUCCACCACAGAUGGGGAUCUCAGCACCUUCUUCACAGUGAUGCAUCCCCCAUCCCACCACUGCCAGAAAUCUCCUGAGCCCCUCCAAGGACACACUACAAGGAAUGAAUUGUGGAAGGACAAGUUAAUCAACCCCAACUGAGACAAAGGGGCGCCUCUGAAUGGCAGGGCGGUAGUUGCCAUACAAGUUGUGUUUGUUCCAGAAAUGAGCCCAAGUGGCCUCUGCGGAUUGGCCCCAGGUGGUUUAGUUCUUCACUGCAGGCUGAGACCUGUCAGCUUAAAUGCCCCCAAUGUCAAACUCAAAUUUUUACACAUCCAGUUAUUUAAAAAACAGCCAAAACAAGCACUUUUUUUUUCUUUUUUUGCCAUUUACAGGCUGCCUGCUUUGCAUACCAAACCUCCCCCAAGAGCGGUUACCCAUUGAUAAGAUGAGGCCGGACCCUCUGCUGCCCCUCAGAGCUCUCUGACCCACAGACUCCUCACCAUGCAGCUGAGUGCAUCACCUAGACACAUAAGCCCCCUCCCUGCCAGGAGGUCCCUUGCCCUCCUCCCCUUCUGGAUGGUGGUCCCCAAGCUGCCAUAAGCCUCCCUUUGGACAGUCCCAUGCUGUGAGGGGCUUCCCUCAUCAUGCAACCGUGUCCAAGUGCUGCCCAAUAAAGCUUGUGUGUUACUGCCUUUCAUGGUCAUAUCUUUUUCCUUGAUCAGCUCAAAAUUACUCAAACCCCUACAGAAUUUCAUGGACCAGCAGGAUCACCAGGGAGCUUGCUAGAAAUGGAGCAUCUUGGGCCCUACUCCCAGACCUACUGAGCCAGACUCUGCAUGUUAACAAGAUCACCACAUUUGCCCACUUUGCCGCUGAUGAUUCGUGUGCACAUUGCAGUUGGAGAAGGGCUGGGCUCAGAGACUUUCCUUGGGGAUCAGUGUAGUAGCUGAGCUCAAUGCACAAAGGGAUUUGUGUGAUGAAGACGUCAGCCCCUGUGAGAGUCCACUAAUCCAUAGCACUGACCCUUCCUUGCUUUUCUCAGUCUCUUAAGCAGGCAGGUGUGAAACUGCAGACUUCCUUUACAAAUCGAAACCCUUACGCUAUGGGUCCUGUACACAUAUGAAACCGCAUGUACAUGCCCCUGAAGUGGGCGUGCAGAUAUAUGACCAGAUGCUGGCCCCCUACCCCGCCCCACGCAGGCAUGCUCCACUCCACCCACACAGGCAUCAGCAACACAUCCAGAGCCUCCUGAGCUUCUAUUCUGGGGAAUGGGGGCCAAGUGCCAGGUCCCAAAAAGGUACCCCAAAAGAAAUCAUUCAGAUUCCACCAAAUCAAAUAAAAUGAUCUCUUACAAAACACAGUAGGGGGCAGGUGCUGAGAAGCACAGACAGGAGGAGCCAGGAACAAAGGAACCCCUGCCACACAAAGGCACAUCGAUCCAGUGAGUGAUUCUGAAUGAGGCUUGCAUCCUCCCAUGUGUCAAGGCUUGAGCCCCAGGGCACCAUACAGGAGGGAACAUCCUAAUUAUUACCCGGAAAAGCCUGGGUAAGACAAGGGCAAUUUGCUUGUGCUUAAUAUAUCUGCAUUUGGGAAUUUAUACGUGCUUACAAACUCUCUAAGCCUACCCAGCAAUCGCUCCUAUUUAGGAUCUGGAAGUGGAUAAAAAGUGCUUUCCAAACAAAAGAUGUCAUGCCAUGAACUUUACUGAUUUUUAGGAAAGAAGCUCUGGUCCCUCGGCAGGACUCAUUUACUCUUGUGGUAUAUACAAUUUUAAACAUCUGUGAGAUUUGAUUUCUCAGUCUAUAAACAAUGGUAAGCAACAACUUAGAAAUAACCCAGAGAAGGUUAGGUGAGGUUGUGGUAAGGAACUAGUAAAAAGCAGCAAGUAUAGCACCAGUCAUUCCAAGAAGCACAGAAGUGCCUACGAACUGCUGACCAGACGAAAACAAAGAGAGAUUAGAGGCUAUUCAAAGUACCAUAUAAACUCAAAAGCAUCUACGGUAGGGACCUUGGGGACUGAUACUACACAAUCCAAUAUUUUAACAAUGAAUUCCUGGUCAUCAAUAAUCAUAAGCACAAUUACAUUGAAUUAUAUUUAAUAUUUUCAGGUAAGAAAGACACUGUUACAUUUUAUAAAUACUUCCACAAUCAAACAGGUUUUUUUAAAUGUUUAAAGUCUUGACACUUAGAGUUUAGUUUCAAUUCAGUAGAAAAUAUAUUAAAAUGGAAUAGCCCACCCUUCCACAAGAAUAAGUAAGUGUGGCACUGCUUUACUAAACCUAUUAAAUUCUGAUUUGCCUGGCAUUGAAGCAUCCAGUCCACAGCUUCAGUCUAUCAGUUCAGCGGAAGUCAACUGGGCAUCUGCUAUGUGCCAAGCACUGUAUUAGGUGCUAAAAACACAAAGAUGAAAAAGAAGCAGGUCCUUCUCUCAAGGCCAGUUGAACUUAGGAAUUCUCAAAUGCCAUCUGAAUGAUGGAGGGGGAAGGGCAGAUUCUCUUCAGCACAGUUUGAGUAGCAGGGGCAUUUUAUGAAAGCUGGAUUCCUUGGGAAAUUAUUUAAUGAUUUGUGUGUGACACAGACGGGGAUUUCCUAAUAUCCUGCACAUUUGAAUAGUUGUAUUCACCUGAGGAUCCCCAGCCCCAAAGAAGGCAUCCUUAAAGCCAUCAGAAUCUCUCCCCGUUUCUUAACCAUAAGGAAUAAACAGAAUCUCAAACUGUCUUUAAUGACUUCCUCCAGACAAGAAAGAGGAACAAAUGAAUUGAAGAGUUCACUCACCCUACAUUUGCCCAAUGUAAAUUGUUGUUAGACUUGGAGAAAUUGCAGAAAUGUGGACUCCUCUCAUUUCUACCCCUGCCGGGAUGCAGAGAACCAAGAGAAUGUGGACCCCCCGAGCCUGCCCAGGUGUAUCCUGCCUGAUCCCCUUUCAGGGGCUGGCACAGACUGAGAAGAAGAUUCCUCUAUACGCCAGAGGGAGCAGAUUAGGGACCUUUGCCUCCCUGGAUCCUUGUGGGUGUCCCUACAAGCAAAGGUGAGUGAUGGAUGGAAGCAGGUCUGCAUGAGUUUUUCGCUCUCUGUGACCUGCGCGCACGCGCGUACACACACACACACACACACACACACACACAGACAAAACACACCUAUUGCAUUCUAGCCAAACAAAACUUAGACUCACGGUGGUAGAUCCUACAGCUGAGAAGUGACUGAGAGAACAUGGAGAAACUGAGGCCCACAGAAGAAAAGGCCAUUCUCCAAUCCAUGGCUCUCUAGGUAACUACUUGAGAUUUUUAGCUGCUUUUUCAUUGGGAAAUUUGCAUCAAAAUUAUAUAGAUUUUUUCCAAGCUGACUUUCUUACCUCUGUCCCUAUCAAGGUUCCUCUUUUGGCAAAGGGAGGGAGGAAGGGAAAGAUGAAGAAAGAAAGGAAAGGAGGGAGGGAGUGAGGGAGGGAAAGAGGGAGAGGAAAGGAAUGAAGUGAAGGAGGAAAGGAGAGAGGGAAGAAAAAAGAGCCGCUGAAGUUGAUAUGAUUCAGUUUACUGCCUUUAGUCUCUGAAAAAUAUUACAGAAGGAGGCAGUGUCAUGUCAGCCUAGAGAAUAGGCUGAGACCCUAGCAGGGCCCCUUCCACAUCCUUCCUGAGG